UGGGGAAUAUUGCACAAUGGGCGCAAGCCUGAUGCAGCCAUGCCGCGUGUGUGAAGAAGGCCUUCGGGUUGUAAAGCACUUUCAGCGAGGAGGAAGGUGGUGAGCUUAAUACGCUCAUCAAUUGACGUUACUCGCAGAAGAAGCACCGGCUAACUCCGUGCCAGCAGCCGCGGUAAUACGGAGGGUGCAAGCGUUAAUCGGAAUUACUGGGCGUAAAGCGCACGCAGGCGGUUUGUUAAGUCAGAUGUGAAAUCCCCGGGCUCAACCUGGGAACUGCAUUUGAAACUGGCAAGCUAGAGUCUCGUAGAGGGGGGUAGAAUUCCAGGUGUAGCGGUGAAAUGCGUAGAGAUCUGGAGGAAUACCGGUGGCGAAGGCGGCCCCCCUGGACGAAGACUGACGCUCAGGUGCGAAAGCGUGGGGCAGCAAACAGGAUUAGAUA
This 439-nucleotide ribosomal RNA is filed under the name uncultured bacterium. Its description in RNAcentral is "partial 16S ribosomal RNA". It matches the Rfam family "Bacterial small subunit ribosomal RNA", at positions 355 to 784 of the family's 1533-position model. The record is from RNAcentral.